CUAUUACUUCGCAGGACGCCCCGAGCUCCUCCUGAACGAGAUCUGCCACUUCCAAUAGUACGUGCACCUGAGUUCCCCAGCCCACCAGUGUCACUGCGUCACCUACAUGCAAAUCCACACACUUGAGAUUGGUCAUCGAAUAUGCCGAUUGAAUCGAGUAAUGAAAGGACGAUUGCAGAUGGAUGAAUAUUACAUAUUCAUCGAAUCUGACGGGAAGAAUUAAAAUUUUGAAUUAUGGAGGUUUUAUUUAUUUUUUUUUUUAAUUUUAAAAGAAAAAUUUUAAAAAACGAAAGGAUAUAAUUUAAAUAAUAUUCGUUUUCAGAUAUUCGAGAUAUUGUAAUAGAUAAGUAUUUCGAAUUGUGACAAAAAUUUGACUUUUAAUAUUAAAUUUUAAAUGAAUUAAAGAGAUAUAAAUGUGAACAUA
This is a long non-coding RNA of Apis florea (little honeybee), 424 nucleotides long. Lineage: Eukaryota; Metazoa; Arthropoda; Insecta; Hymenoptera; Apidae. The record is from RefSeq and is a predicted model, not a curated record.